UACGGGGGGGGCAAGCGUUGUUCGGAAUUACUGGGCGUAAAGGGCUCGUAGGUGGCCAACUAAGUCAGACGUGAAAUCCCCAGGCUCAACUUGGGAACUGCGUCUGAUACUGGAAGGCUUGAAUCCGGGAGAGGGAUGUGGAAUUCCAGGUGUAGCGGUGAAAUGCGUAGAUAUCUGGAGGAACACCGGUGGCGAAGGCGACAUCCUGGACCGGUAUUGACGCUGAGGCGCGAAAGCGUGGGGAGCGAACAGG
RNAcentral lists this ribosomal RNA (253 nucleotides) under uncultured bacterium. RNAcentral's name for it is "partial 16S ribosomal RNA". It matches the Rfam family "Bacterial small subunit ribosomal RNA", at positions 524 to 776 of the family's 1533-position model. The record is from RNAcentral.